CUCCGAUUUCGCUGCUGCUCCUCUCUCUUUCAUAAGGAUCAAAUAUGGGUUCAUUCCAUGAAAUCAAUUCUAGCGCUCAAUCGUCUACUGGGAUUGAAACUUGCUCCCUCUGAUACAUGAAAUCAUGAAAUUAGAAGCUGGGUUCGAUGAAGUUGAUUGGCUUUGGAUUCCCAGACAUCUAAAUCACGGUGCCCAUGUAGCGGCAGGGAUUGAUUUGAGGACGGUGGAGCUGCAAAAGUUGAGCUGGGGACUUCCCAACCCAUUGAACAUGAAACUUCACUGCAAUCAAUGGUACCAUGCAUAUGAAGAGUCCUAAUUUGCACGACUUCUAUAUCUUCUACAUGGGAAAGGGACUUACUCUUCUUCUUGUGCUUCUUAAUUUCAAAUUGGUUUUGAUUAUGUUUUUCAGUUAGGUAUUGUUUUGAUUUUGAUUUUGGAUUUGCAGGUAUUCCAACUAGCGGCCCAUCCACCCUUCCCAGCAUCUGAUAAGGGUUGGGGUAAAGAAUUAGGCCAAGUACAAGACUAAUAUACUAUUUUGGAGUCUAUUUAUUUGGCUACUUGAAUUUGUAAUAUUUUCAUUGUAUCUGGAGAUUGUAUUUUUUUUUU
Long non-coding RNA from Prunus dulcis (almond), 606 nucleotides. RefSeq lists it as uncharacterized. Lineage: Eukaryota; Viridiplantae; Streptophyta; Magnoliopsida; Rosales; Rosaceae. The transcript is spliced from 4 exons. The record is from RefSeq and is a predicted model, not a curated record.